GAGGACCCCUGCCCUUCUGGCCUCGGGGAAGGCUUCAAAGGAACAGAUGGGGAAACUGAGGCCCAGAGAGUCAGGGCCAAGGCUCACACUGCCAGUUAGAGGAGAGGUGGAGCUAGAACAUGGACUGUUGACGGGUGAUCCUGACUGUCCCUGGGGCUGCACACUGGAACCACUUACCUGGCCUGCCCCCGAGAGUCUGACCCGUCAUGCAUAUCCUGGACAUCAGAGUCCACGAGAGUGACGUGAGAACAAGUCAGAAGAAGAAUCGUAUUCCAUGACCCGUGAAAAUGACGUGAAAUUUAUAAAGUUUUAUUGGAAGGCUGCCACGCCUGGUUGUUUACAGACCGUCUGGAUGCUUGUGCCCCGAGAUGGCAGGUGAUGGUCACAACAGUGCCUGAGUCACAGAGAGUGGGGCAAAGAGCCCUCGGAGAAUGGGGAUGCUCCAGGAUGAUUCCCCUUUGGAGGCUGCUAGAGAUACCCUCGCUGAUAAGGGGCUGAUUUGUGAAGACUUAAUUAUGGCCCCGAGCCCUCCCUGUAAACAAUCGAUGCUAUCCAAGAGGCGCUUGAUGCUGCUGCUCUUGGUGAACCUGGGACCUGGGACUAGUUCUCUGAGGACAAGGCCAUGGCAGCCGAAUCCAGGAGGCCGGCACUGACAUAGAUCCUACCUGAGGGGCAGGGCUGGGGGCCCACCAGCUGGUGAGUGCAGGAGAGUGAAGCAUAAUAAAAUGAGGUAUGCUUGUGAAUGAGAGAGAAAUGAGGGAUUGUGCCAAACGAAGGACAUUUAGACUGACAACGGACUUCUCAUCCACAGCAAUGGGAUGCCAGCAAAGUAGAGAACGACAUCUUCCAGGUAGUCGGGGAAGUAACUUUCCAUCAAGAAGCCUCUACUCCACUAAACUAGAAUGGCAUAAAUAAUUGGGUACAAAGAAGUGGGCUGAGGCAGGAUCUGGGGUGAGAAGUUUCUGUUGAUUAGGUUGGGAAUAGGACUGAUGGUCUUCAAACCAGGUUGGUGCAGAGUGGGAAAGGUGGGCUAAUCUGGUUUUUUGGAGGGUGGCUUCACUUUCCUUAGGUCAGAGACUGAGGUCUAGUCCGGAGAACAACAUCAAGUGGGGAGAGAAGCCUAGGAUCUGGCAAGAUCAAAAGGAUAGGGUCAAAACUACAAGUGACCCUUUUCACCCUGGAGCCAUGCUGGUUUCCAGGGAGAGCCACACCUUCCCUCAUCUCCACGUGACCCAUUCCUUAGACUCCACUUAGAUGUUACCUUUUCUGGCAUGUUUUCCCCAACCCCUCACCAGACACACCUUCUCUCCCUGUGAACUCCCCUAUCAACUGUCUUAGAUAAUAAUAUCUGGACUUCUGUGUUCUCCUUCCCUAUGAGAUGCCCACCCAGGAUCAGUGGAAACUCACCUGUACACCCCACACAAACUCCUCUGGCUCACCUUCCCUGGUGGGCAGGCAGGAAAUGUGGACACUUCAGCCACACUCCAGCUGCCUUUGGUCUGAGGAAGACUUCCGUGGAGCCAGAGAACCAGAAUGCCUGCCACUCCCUAAGGAGUGCUCUGAGAAGCUCCCAUCUCGGUGCCUGAGAAACGGGGUCAAAGGGUCCUCUGGGUUGCCCUGGAGAAUGGAGAGUAAAGGGUCAGCAGCCCAUUAUGGCCUAGGCCAGCUGUCAUCACUUCCUAUUGUCCCCAGCCUGUCCUCUGGGAAGAUGUGGGGAGGAAGUCCCAGUCCUACAACAUACCAAUCUU
Molecule: long non-coding RNA, 1748 nt
Organism: Neogale vison (American mink)
Lineage: Eukaryota; Metazoa; Chordata; Mammalia; Carnivora; Mustelidae
Exons: 6
Source: RefSeq, a predicted model, not a curated record